AUACGGGGGGUGCAGGCGUUAUUCGGAUUUAUUGGGCGUAAAGGGCGCGUAGGCGGCUUGGUAAGUCAGAUGUGAAAGCCCGGGGCUCAACCCCGGAAGUGCAUUUGAAACUAUCAGGCUUGAGUAUGGGAGAGGGAAGUGGAAUUCCUGGUGUAGAGGUGAAAUUCGUAGAUAUCAGGAGGAACACCGGUGGCGAAGGCGACUUCCUGGACCAAUACUGACGCUGAGGCGCGAAGGCGUGGGGAGCAAACAGGAUUAGAUACCCCAGUAGUCC
RNAcentral lists this ribosomal RNA (274 nucleotides) under uncultured bacterium. RNAcentral describes it as "partial 16S ribosomal RNA". It matches the Rfam family "Bacterial small subunit ribosomal RNA", at positions 523 to 796 of the family's 1533-position model. The record is from RNAcentral.